Acetohalobium arabaticum DSM 5501 is the source of this 87-nucleotide transfer RNA. It matches the Rfam family "tRNA". From Rfam's summary of the family: Transfer RNA (tRNA) molecules are approximately 80 nucleotides in length. Their secondary structure includes four short double-helical elements and three loops (D, anti-codon, and T loops). The record is from Rfam. NCBI's taxonomy places the organism in Bacteria, Bacillati, Bacillota, Clostridia, Halanaerobiales, Halobacteroidaceae.
GCCGGGGUGGCGGAACUGGCAGACGCAUCGGACUUAAAAUCCGGUGAGCCUUCUGUGCUCGUGUGGGUUCGAAUCCCACCCCCGGCA